RNAcentral lists this ribosomal RNA (449 nucleotides) under uncultured bacterium. RNAcentral's name for it is "partial 16S ribosomal RNA". It matches the Rfam family "Bacterial small subunit ribosomal RNA", at positions 329 to 793 of the family's 1533-position model. The record is from RNAcentral.
UCCCAGACUCCUACGGGAGGCAGCAGUGGGGGAUAUUGCACAAUGGGGGAAACCCUGAUGCAGCGACGCCGCGUGGGCGAAGAAGUAUUUCGGUAUGUAAAGCCCUAUCAGCAGGGAAGAAGAAAUGACGGUACCUGAGUAAGAAGCACCGGCUAAAUACGUGCCAGCAGCCGCGGUAAUACGUAUGGUGCAAGCGUUAUCCGGAUUUACUGGGUGUAAAGGGAGCGCAGGCGGCCUUGCAAGUCUGAUGUGAAAGGCCGGGGCCCAACCCCGGGACUGCAUUGGAAACUGCGAGGCUGGAGUGUCGGAGAGGCAGGCGGAAUUCCUAGUGUAGCGGUGAAAUGCGUAGAUAUUAGGAGGAACACCAGUGGCGAAGGCGGUCUGCUGGACAGCAACUGACGCUGAGGCGCGAAAGCGUGGGGAGCAAACAGGAUUAGAUACCCGUGUAA